RNAcentral lists this ribosomal RNA (253 nucleotides) under uncultured bacterium. Its description in RNAcentral is "partial 16S ribosomal RNA". It matches the Rfam family "Bacterial small subunit ribosomal RNA", at positions 524 to 776 of the family's 1533-position model. The record is from RNAcentral.
UACGAAGGGGGCUAGCGUUGCUCGGAAUCACUGGGCGUAAAGCGCACGUAGGCGGAUCCUUAAGUCGGGGGUGAAAUCCUGGAGCUCAACUCCAGAACUGCCUUCGAUACUGAGGAUCUCGAGUCCGGGAGAGGUGAGUGGAACUGCGAGUGUAGAGGUGAAAUUCGUAGAUAUUCGCAAGAACACCAGUGGCGAAGGCGGCUCACUGGCCCGGUACUGACGCUGAGGUGCGAAAGCCAGGGGAGCAAACGGG